Molecule: ribosomal RNA, 321 nt
Filed under: uncultured eukaryote
Lineage: Eukaryota
Description: partial 18S ribosomal RNA
Rfam family: Eukaryotic small subunit ribosomal RNA
Source: RNAcentral
CCCUUAGACGUUCUGGGCCGCACGCGCGCUACACUGACCGGUGCAACAAGCAUCCGUCCUUGGCCGACAGGCCCGGGCAAUCUUUGAACGCCGGUCGUGAUGGGGAUAGACUUUUGCAAUUUUUGGUCUUCAACGAGGAAUUCCUAGUAAACGCAAGUCAUCAUCUUGCAUUGAUUACGUCCCUGCCCUUUGUACACACCGCCCGUCGCACCUACCGAUUGAAUGGUCCGGUGAAAUCUCGGGACGGCGGCUUGGUCGCUUGCGUCCGACUGCUGAAACUUGAUUAAACCAUAUCAUUUAGAGGAAGGUGAAGUCGUAACA